GGGAAUGGAUGAGUUCCGGUGGGCUUCCCGGUCUUCAAAACCGGUGUCGGGUCGCGUUGCGGGCCGAGGUGGGUUCGACUCCCAUCCGUUCCCG
This 94-nucleotide transfer RNA is filed under the name Anaerolineaceae bacterium. Its description in RNAcentral is "tRNA-Sec". It matches the Rfam family "Selenocysteine transfer RNA". The record is from RNAcentral. RNAcentral also lists the same sequence under 1 other name. Lineage: Bacteria; Bacillati; Chloroflexota; Anaerolineae; Anaerolineales; Anaerolineaceae.